GAUGAACGCUGGCGGCGUGCCUAACACAUGCAAGUCGAACGGAGAUUACGGACGGAAGUUUUCGGAUGGAAGACUGUAAUUCUUAGUGGCGGACGGGUGAGUAACGCGUGGGCAACCUGCCCUAUACAGGGGGAUAGCAGCUGGAAACGGCUGGUAAGACCGCAUAAGUCGGUUAAAUCGCAUGAUUUGACCGGGAAAUGAGCAAUCAGGUAUAGGAUGGGCCCGCGUCCGAUUAGCCAGUUGGCAGGGUAAAAGCCUACCAAAGCGACGAUCGGUAGCCGGACUGAGAGGUCGGACGGCCACAUUGGGACUGAGACACGGCCCAAACUCCUACGGGAGGCAGCAGUGGGGGAUAUUGCACAAUGGAGGAAACUCUGAUGCAGCGACGCCGCGUGAGUGAAGAAGUAUUUCGGUAUGUAAAGCUCUAUCAGCAGGGAAGAUGAUGACGGUACCUGACUAAGAAGCCCCGGCUAACUACGUG
RNAcentral lists this ribosomal RNA (481 nucleotides) under uncultured bacterium. RNAcentral's name for it is "partial 16S ribosomal RNA". It matches the Rfam family "Bacterial small subunit ribosomal RNA", at positions 28 to 507 of the family's 1533-position model. The record is from RNAcentral.